UGCAAAAAUCAAAGUAUUGGAGGUCCUGCCUGCCCAGUGACAAGUUAAACGGCCGCGGUAUUUUUAACCGUGCGAAGGUAGCGCAAUCACUUGUCUUUUAAAUAAAGACCUGUAUGAAUGGUGAAACGAGGGCUUAACUGUCUCCCUUUUCAAGUCAAUGAAAUUGAUCUGUCCGUGCAGAAGCGGGCAUAAAAAUACAAGACGAGAAGACCCUUUGGAACUUAAGACAUCAGACCACCUAUAUCAAUGACCCCCUACACCCAGUUAAAUCUAAAUAGCAACUGGUCCUAGUCUUUGGUUGGGGCGACCGCGGAAUAAAACAAAACUACCGCGCAGACUGGGGCAACCCCCUAGAAUCAAGAGAGACAUCUCUAAACAACAGAAUUUCUGACCAUAAAGAUCCGGCCCUGCCGAUCAACGAACCAAGCUACCCAAGGGAUAACAGCGCAAUCCCCUUUAAGAGCCCAUAUCGACAAGGGGGUUUACGACCUCGAUGUUGGAUCAGGACAUCCUAAUGGUGCAACCGUUAUUAAGGGUUCG
RNAcentral lists this ribosomal RNA (540 nucleotides) under Pareuchiloglanis sinensis. Its description in RNAcentral is "partial 16S ribosomal RNA". It matches the Rfam family "Bacterial large subunit ribosomal RNA", at positions 1832 to 2575 of the family's 2925-position model. The record is from RNAcentral. Lineage: Eukaryota; Metazoa; Chordata; Actinopteri; Siluriformes; Sisoridae. RNAcentral also lists the same sequence under 1 other name.